This 984-nucleotide long non-coding RNA is filed under the name Malus domestica (apple). RNAcentral's name for it is "long non-coding RNA (MDOM_LNC011789)". The record is from RNAcentral. Lineage: Eukaryota; Viridiplantae; Streptophyta; Magnoliopsida; Rosales; Rosaceae.
CAAGAUUCACUCUCGUGACUCCAGCUAAUUAUGGGAUUAUUGCACUGUUUAUACAUAAUUAUGCAUAGCCAGCCCUCUAACACUUAUAUUAAUACGUCUGCUUAAUUAAUAUGAUUUCUCAAGCCUUUGAUCAAACUGGUUUAAACCCGACCAGCCCGGCUCUCUUCCAAUCCUUCCUCGGAAUAGUACGUCCGGCUGCGUUUAAUUGGUAUGUUAUUUUCAUUUUCAUUUAGUGUGUGUACCUUACGCUAAAAAAUCAUCUAAACAUUCAAGAACGCGUUUAAACCCAAAAAUAAAAUAAAACCUCAUAUAUGUCUCUUUUCCUUGAUCAGAUUGGAAGUUCAAGCAUGGUGAUGAGGAGCCUAAUCAAGUUGUUAGGGACUCUGAAAUCAAACUGAGGUUUUUAAACAAAAUAAAUGCGUAUUCAGAAAUUGAGAAAACUGAGAGCAUGAGGAUGGACAUGAUGCACAGGAAAGCUCAGGCAUCAAUUGUACCGACUCUGAAGAAUGCCGAUUACCGGAGGAAAAAGAGCCACGCACAUAGCCGCUGAUCCGUGAUCGAUUGAAACCAGAAUUUCCCUUUUUAUUUAUUUGAUUUGGAGAGGAGCAAGAUAUACGUUCUGCAGCUAUUUGUUUCAGCGGUUUCUACUGUUUCAAGUCAUCAGUGUUUUAAGUCAUAUGAAAAUAGCUCUGCAGCUAUUUGUUUAAGCAGUUUUAACUGUUUCAAGUCAUCACAGCGCCACUUUGAGGUGUUACAACUUCUUAAUUCAGUUUAUAUUUUGUGACUUUUCUUCUAAAACAAGCGAUAUUGGAAAAAGACUAUUUGUAAUUUAGAAUAUCGGAUGUAAGGAUGAAUGUUUUUAAUUAACUAAACUAUUAAUCUCCUGCUGAAUUUUGAGACGUUUAAUAAAAAGAAGAAAUAUAAUUACUUGGAAAAAGAAAUUAAGUCAAGUCAAUAAGAUUGUGACCGUAUGAAGGAACAAUU